Molecule: ribosomal RNA, 245 nt
Filed under: uncultured bacterium
Lineage: Bacteria
Description: partial 16S ribosomal RNA
Rfam family: Bacterial small subunit ribosomal RNA
Source: RNAcentral
UACAGAGACAGCAAGCGUUGCUCGGAUUCAUUGGGCGUAAAGGGUCCGCAGGCGGUCGGUUAAGUCGGGUGUGAAAUUUUCGAGCUCAACUCGGAACAGUCAUUCGAAACUAGCCGGCUAGAGGACUGGAGAGGAUACUGGAAUUGCAGGUGUAGCAGUGAAAUGCGUAGAGAUCUGCAAGAACACCGGUGGCGAAGGCGAGUAUCUGGACAGUUCCUGACGCUCAGGGACGAAAGCUAGGGGAG